Long non-coding RNA from Triticum aestivum (bread wheat), 1041 nucleotides. RefSeq lists it as uncharacterized. NCBI's taxonomy places the organism in Eukaryota, Viridiplantae, Streptophyta, Magnoliopsida, Poales, Poaceae. The record is from RefSeq and is a predicted model, not a curated record. The transcript has 4 exons.
CGGAUCCUCUCCUCCACCUCCAUCCUCCACCUCUCCGGUCGCCCGGUUGCAACGCAGCAGCUCCUUCCUACCUUCCAUGGACGAGCUCGACGGAGACGCCGUCCAGCCCGACCACGGCCACGACUACCCCACGCACAAGAAAGGUAGUUAUUGUGAAUUGAUGUUCGCACUGAGGCCGGAGGUGAGAGGCGAGGGCACGAAGGUCGGCGGCAAGUGCUCAGGAGAGAAGAGGAAGGCGGCGGUGGCUGCGGUUUACACGAGAGCGAGAUGACCUGCCCAGAAAGGUAGUUACAGUGAAUUGAUGUUCAUAUGAACUUCAAUGCUGUGACGUUUUUAUUAGAUCUGAGUUGCAAUCCUCAAUUUUUCUAGGUUUGAGUAGCAAUGCUCCUGCUCUACUAGCUAUGACAUUUUCCAUGUUUUUUCUUCUAAUAUCAUAUAGCCUCCAUGCUUAUGGGUUCAACUUGACAAGCUUUUUUCAUCUUGCAUCCUGUUUUAAGCUCUGUUGAUGCUUGAUUUCUGCCAUGUUUAUGGAGGGAGAGGACGCCAAGUACUAGGAGAAGGAUCAGUUUAGCAAGUACAGGCUAUUGCUGAGAAGCGCAACCUUUUGAUCUUUGAGAACCGCAAGUUUGCUGACAUUGAAAACACAUUCAUUAUGCAAGACGAAUGGUGAGAAAUGUGCUAUUCCCUAUCCUUCCAUUCUAUUUGCAUAUUCGUGUAGUGUGCUUAGUUUUUUUCCUUUCAAGAUGAAUAUUCUACACAUGAGAGCAAUAUACUUGGUAUUAUUGAUGCUCAUAUAAUUCCUGGACCUGGAAUUGUUGAUGGCUUGAGGCUUAAAGUAUGUUAUGUGUUGCAUACCUAAUAAAUAUUAGCAAGUUAAUGUUGCAGCUUGACAGCUAAAAUUAUUAGUUAGCAAAUAUACAUAGCUCAUUCACAUUUUAGUUCCCUAAUAUGUGGGUUUUCUACACAUGAUGUGUGCAGAUCUGUGAAAGAAGAGAUGAAGAACAAUUUUAGCUGAAGAGUUGAAGAAGACCAAGGUGAAUU